RNAcentral lists this ribosomal RNA (253 nucleotides) under uncultured bacterium. Its description in RNAcentral is "partial 16S ribosomal RNA". It matches the Rfam family "Bacterial small subunit ribosomal RNA", at positions 524 to 776 of the family's 1533-position model. The record is from RNAcentral.
UACGUAGGGGGCUAGCGUUGUCCGGAAUCAUUGGGCGUAAAGAGCGUGUAGGCGGUCCGGUAAGUCCGCUGUGAAAGUCGGGGGCUCAACCCUCGAAUGCCGGUGGAUACUGUCGGGCUAGAGUGCGGAAGAGGCGAGUGGAAUUCCUGGUGUAGCGGUGAAAUGCGCAGAUAUCAGGAGGAACACCGGUGGCGAAGGCGGGUCUCUGGGCCGUAACUGACGCUGAGGAGCGAAAGCAUGGGGAGCGAACAGG